AUUGAACGCUGGCGGCAGGCCUAACACAUGCCAGUCGAGCGGAUGAAGGGAGCUUGCUCCUGGAUUCAGCGGCGGACGGGUGAGUAAUGCCUAGGAAUCUGCCUGGUAGUGGGGGAUAACGUCCGGAAACGGGCGCUAAUACCGCAUACGUCCUGAGGGAGAAAGUGGGGGAUCUUCGGACCUCACGCUAUCAGAUGAGCCUAGGUCGGAUUAGCUAGUUGGUGGGGUAAAGGCCUACCAAGGCGACGAUCCGUAACUGGUCUGAGUGGAUGAUCAGUCACACUGGAACUGAGACACGGUCCAGACUCCUACGGGAGGGAGCAGUGGGGAAUAUUGGACAAUGGGCGAAAGCCUGAUCCAGCCAUGCGGCGUGUGUGAAGAAGGUCUUCGGAUUGUAAAGCACUUUAAGUUGGGAGGAAGGGCAGUAAGUUAAUACCUUGCUGUUUUGACGUUACCAACAGAAUAAGCACCGGCUAACUUCGUG
Molecule: ribosomal RNA, 484 nt
Filed under: uncultured bacterium
Lineage: Bacteria
Description: partial 16S ribosomal RNA
Rfam family: Bacterial small subunit ribosomal RNA
Source: RNAcentral